This 222-nucleotide unclassified non-coding RNA is filed under the name Hevea brasiliensis (rubber tree). The record is from RNAcentral. Lineage: Eukaryota; Viridiplantae; Streptophyta; Magnoliopsida; Malpighiales; Euphorbiaceae.
UUACUAAUAAGACUAGUUGAUAAACAAUAAAUACCUAUGUAUUCUAAGUAUAUUAGCAGAUGGUUUAUUACAAUAUUAUUUUUGAGAGUUAAUAAAAUUUGACAAGAUGGUCUGCCCAAGGGGGGUUGAACACUGAUCAAAAUCAUUAGGGAUAGAAAAACUGAUCGCAAGCCUUCAGAAAUUACAGGACCAUCCAGUAACAAAACAAGUUUCAGCAACAAA